RNAcentral lists this RNase P RNA (444 nucleotides) under Pseudomonadota bacterium. Its description in RNAcentral is "RNase P RNA component class A". It matches the Rfam family "Bacterial RNase P class A". From Rfam's summary of the family: Ribonuclease P (RNase P) is a ubiquitous endoribonuclease, found in archaea, bacteria and eukarya as well as chloroplasts and mitochondria. Its best characterised activity is the generation of mature 5'-ends of tRNAs by cleaving the 5'-leader elements of precursor-tRNAs. Cellular RNase Ps are ribonucleoproteins. RNAcentral also lists the same sequence under 2 other names. The record is from RNAcentral. Lineage: Bacteria; Pseudomonadati; Pseudomonadota.
GGAGCAGGUCGGGCAGCCGCGGGCACCCGUGGCGGGCGCACACGCUGGCGGGUGUUCGAGGAAAGUCCGGGCUCCACAGGGCAGGGUGCUGGGUAACCCCCAGCGGGGGCGACCCCAGGGAAAGUGCCACAGAAACAUACCGCCGGCAGAAGGCUUCGCAGGCGUGAGCCACGCGCCCGCGGGGAUGCCGGCAAGGGUGAAAUGGCCGGGUAAGAGCCGGCCGGCAGCCUGGUGACAGGCUGGCCAGGCAAACCCCACCCGGAGCAAGGCCAGGUAGGGGGAGAUGAGGUGGCCCGCCGAGUCCCCGGGUAGGCCGCAUCAGGCCUCAGGCAACUGAGGUCGUAGAGAGAUGGCUGCCCCGCGUCACUCUUCUCCAGGGCCGUCUGCAAGCCCCUGGGGCGGAUGCGGUGCGGACAGAACCCGGCUUACAGACCUGCUCCACUC